GCCUUGGUGGCUCAGUCUUUUGAGCAUCUGACUUCGGCUCAGGUCACGAUCUCACAGUUCGUGGGUUCGAGCCCCGCGUCAGGCU
This is a transfer RNA of Felis catus (domestic cat), 85 nucleotides long. It matches the Rfam family "tRNA". Rfam says of the family: Transfer RNA (tRNA) molecules are approximately 80 nucleotides in length. Their secondary structure includes four short double-helical elements and three loops (D, anti-codon, and T loops). Further hydrogen bonds mediate the characteristic L-shaped molecular structure. tRNAs have two regions of fundamental functional importance: the anti-codon, which is responsible for specific mRNA codon recognition, and the 3' end, to which the tRNAs corresponding amino acid is attached (by aminoacyl-tRNA synthetases). tRNAs cope with the degeneracy of the genetic code in two manners: having more than one tRNA (with a specific anti-codon) for a particular amino acid; and 'wobble' base-pairing, i.e. permitting non-standard base-pairing at the 3rd anti-codon position. NCBI's taxonomy places the organism in Eukaryota, Metazoa, Chordata, Mammalia, Carnivora, Felidae. The record is from Rfam.